CAGUCGCCGCGGGAAUACGAGGGGGGCAAGCGUUGUUCGGAAUUAUUGGGCGUAAAGGGAGCGUAGGCGGUUUUGUAAGUCGUGUGUGAAAUCUUCGGGCUCAACCCGAAGUCUGCACACGAAACUGCAGGGCUUGAGUAUGGGAGAGGUGAGUGGAAUUCCUGGUGUAGCGGUGAAAUGCGUAGAUAUCAGGAGGAACACCUGUGGCGAAAGCGGCUCACUGGACCAUUACUGACGCUGAGGCUCGAAAGCUAGGGGAGCAAACAGGAUUAGAUACCCGCGUAGUCCCUGUCUCUUAUAC
RNAcentral lists this ribosomal RNA (301 nucleotides) under uncultured bacterium. RNAcentral's name for it is "partial 16S ribosomal RNA". It matches the Rfam family "Bacterial small subunit ribosomal RNA", at positions 509 to 807 of the family's 1533-position model. The record is from RNAcentral.